RNAcentral lists this ribosomal RNA (749 nucleotides) under Priestia megaterium. Its description in RNAcentral is "bacterial SSU rRNA". It matches the Rfam family "Bacterial small subunit ribosomal RNA", at positions 62 to 792 of the family's 1533-position model. The record is from RNAcentral. Lineage: Bacteria; Bacillati; Bacillota; Bacilli; Caryophanales; Bacillaceae.
UCGAGCGAACUGAUUAGAAGCUUGCUUCUAUGACGUUAGCGGCGGACGGGUGAGUAACACGUGGGCAACCUGCCUGUAAGACUGGGAUAACUUCGGGAAACCGAAGCUAAUACCGGAUAGGAUCUUCUCCUUCAUGGGAGAUGAUUGAAAGAUGGUUUCGGCUAUCACUUACAGAUGGGCCCGCGGUGCAUUAGCUAGUUGGUGAGGUAACGGCUCACCAAGGCAACGAUGCAUAGCCGACCUGAGAGGGUGAUCGGCCACACUGGGACUGAAACACGGCCCAAACUCCUACGGGAGGCAGCAGUAGGGAAUCUUCCGCAAUGGACGAAAGUCUGACGGAGCAACGCCGCGUGAGUGAUGAAGGCUUUCGGGUCGUAAAACUCUGUUGUUAGGGAAGAACAAGUACAAGAGUAACUGCUCGUACCUUGACGGUACCUAACCAAAAAGCCACGGCUAACUACGUGCCAGCAGCCGCGGUAAUACGUAGGUGGCAAGCGUUAUCCGGAAUUAUUGGGCGUAAAGCGCGCGCAGGCGGUUUCUUAAGUCUGAUGUGAAAGCCCACGGCUCAACCGUGGAGGGUCAUUGGAAACUGGGGAACUUGAGUGCAGAAGAGAAAAGCGGAAUUCCACGUGUAGCGGUGAAAUGCGUAGAGAUGUGGAGGAACACCAGUGGCGAAGGCGGCUUUUUGGUCUGUAACUGACGCUGAGGCGCGAAAGCGUGGGGAGCAAACAGGAUUAGAUACCCUGGUA